RNAcentral lists this long non-coding RNA (329 nucleotides) under Bos taurus (domestic cattle). Its description in RNAcentral is "long non-coding RNA NONBTAT016497". The record is from RNAcentral. Lineage: Eukaryota; Metazoa; Chordata; Mammalia; Artiodactyla; Bovidae.
UUCCUCCAACCCUCAUCAGCUCAUCACUUAGAGGCAACACAGGAAAACAGAGAGCAUGUGGUGCUUUAAAAAACAAACAUAAACAAACAAAGAAGGAAAUUUAAGGUUCACAUACAUGCAUAUAUCUACACCCCCAUCUCCUGUUAUCACUAGGGCAAACUGGAUAGAAUUCUGAAUUUCCUUGAUCCAUGUAGAGGACACAUCGAAAAUUGUACGGCACCCUUCUGCACAUUUCUAUUCAAAAUUUCUCCUAAUUUUUUAAACCCGAUUUCACUGAUACUAAAAUAAGGGACCAACUACACAUGUUUGACCAAAGUACCAAAUCCCUA